GAUGAACGCUGGCGGCGUGCUUAACACAUGCAAGUCGAACGGAAAGGCCCAAGCUUGCUUGGGUACUCGAGUGGCGAACGGGUGAGUAACACGUGGGUGAUCUGCCCUGCACUUCGGGACAAGCCUGGGAAACUGGGUCUAAUACCGGAUAGGACCACAUUUUGGAUGGUGUGGUGGAAAGUUUUUCGGUGUGGGAUGAGCUCGCGGCCUAUCAGCUUGUUGGUGGGGUAAUGGCCUACCAAGGCGUCGACGGGUAGCCGGCCUGAGAGGGUGUACGGCCACAUUGGGACUGAGAUACGGCCCAGACUCCUACGGGAGGCAGCAGUGGGGAAUAUUGCACAAUGGGCGCAAGCCUGAUGCAGCGACGCCGCGUGGGGGAUGACGGCCUUCGGGUUGUAAACUCCUUUCGCUAGGGACGAAGCGUUUUUGUGACGGUACCUGGAGAAGAAGCACCGGCUAACUACGUG
This 467-nucleotide ribosomal RNA is filed under the name uncultured bacterium. Its description in RNAcentral is "partial 16S ribosomal RNA". It matches the Rfam family "Bacterial small subunit ribosomal RNA", at positions 28 to 507 of the family's 1533-position model. The record is from RNAcentral.